UAGGGAAUCUUCCGCAAUGGACGAAAGUCUGACGGAGCAACGCCGCGUGAGCGAAGAAGGUCUUAGGAUCGUAAAGCUCUGUUGUCAGGGAAGAACAAGUGCCGUUCGAACAGGGCGGUACCUUGACGGUACCUGACGAGGAAGCCACGGCUAACUACGUGCCAGCAGCCGCGGUAAUACGUAGGUGGCAAGCGUUGUCCGGAAUUAUUGGGCGUAAAGCGCGCGCCGGCGGUUCCUUAAGUCUGAUGUGAAAUCUCGCGGCUCAACCGCGAGCGGCCAUUGGAAACUGGGGAACUUGAGUGCAGGAGAGGGGAGCGGAAUUCCACGUGUAGCGGUGAAAUGCGUAGAGAUGUGGAGGAACACCAGUGGCGAAGGCGGCUCUCUGGCCUGUAACUGACGCUGAGGCGCGAAAGCGUGGGGAGCGAACAGG
This 430-nucleotide ribosomal RNA is filed under the name bacterium. RNAcentral's name for it is "partial 16S ribosomal RNA". It matches the Rfam family "Bacterial small subunit ribosomal RNA", at positions 355 to 776 of the family's 1533-position model. The record is from RNAcentral.